GGGGGCGCCAGGUCUCGACGGGGUAGUGGUCUGCAAGAUGGCGAGCCGUGUCGCCGAGCACGUAAAAGCGGCAAGGCUAUAAACGCCAAUCGCGAACUGGCUCUCGCUGCGUAAGUAGCGAAGUCAUCCGGGGCUUCGGCUCCGGCGCCGGACCGCUCCGAGUCAGCAGGAGCGGAUCUCGGCGGAAAUUUAGCUGACUCGCUCCCGGCGGGCGUCGCGGCCGCCGGGGGGACUCACUACCGCGACUGGUCUGAAGGGAUCCGGUCCCAUGGGAGCCCGACCGACGAGAUUCAAAACCGGGACUACGCUUGUAGAGGUCUUGCGGGACGCUGCUUCGGACGCGAGUUCGAUUCUCGCCGCCUCCACCA
This 368-nucleotide transfer-messenger RNA is filed under the name Chloroflexota bacterium. RNAcentral describes it as "Chloroflexi bacterium transfer-messenger RNA". It matches the Rfam family "transfer-messenger RNA". From Rfam's summary of the family: Bacterial tmRNA, also known as 10Sa RNA or SsrA, is named for its dual tRNA and mRNA-like properties. Its role is to liberate the mRNA from a stalled ribosome. RNAcentral also lists the same sequence under 2 other names. Lineage: Bacteria; Bacillati; Chloroflexota. The record is from RNAcentral.